CCGUUCGUACUGUAUCGGAUACAAAGUUUAGCAUGGCGGCUAGCCUGCCGAGCAUUGCGGUCCAGAAAAGGUCGUCGGUUCUGCACUCGGCUGAACUUUGCGCACUCCUGGGUGGUCAGUCGGUCGCACCGUGGCAUUUGGUUGGCGCAGAGGCGGGCGGGUAUAUAGGCGACCCAGGCAGGGUGCCAGGGGGUCGGGUUGGGUGUGGUUUGCCGUGCCGGUUUAGGUUUCGGUUCAGCGUGAGGAGGAGAGGAUAGGAGAAGGAGCGGCUCCGCCGCUGGCGUCGGGGCCUGCGACGGUGGCGGUGGGGGGCGCGCAGAGGCUAAGCCGCUUAAACCCCGAGUCCUUUCUCCUCCUCGCUGAAGAGAGACCACCAGCCUUUAAGUCCUGUUCUACGUGAAGGAACGUAGUAAAGUGCCGGGACGUCCAAAACUCGAAAACAGACAAAGCGACCCUACCUACGGUUCUUCAAGGACGUCUACCAGCUUCUGUUCUUCUUCUCUGAGGAGCUCUUCUUCCUUCGGGGUGACUUUACCGUCGUCUUUGACCUUCGCCGUUAAUUCCGGUGACUUCUCUUCCUCUUCUUCGAGUUCAGUUUUUUCGUGUCCUCCGCUUCGAUAAGAAGGAGUCUUAGACUGUCACUUAGGCUCUCGCUGUCGCUAGCCUUUGUGUCCUUCUCCUUCCUGGCGUCUUCCGUGUCCUUUGUACCGGUGAGACUGAGACUACCACGGUCCUCCGCGUUCGUGUCCAGUUUCUCCUCCUCGAGUCUGAGAUCGCUACUCUCGCUGUCACUACUUAUACUAUCGCUUAGACUUCUUCUCGCGGCUUCCUUCUUCGUGAGCGUGUCCUCCUUCGUAGCGGCAGUGAGAAGUUCCAGUCUCAGACUACGAAGUCUAAUGUCGUCGCUACUACUACUCGCUUCCAGUUGGUCCUUCCUGGUGUGAUCCUCGGCCUCCGCGGCGGUGGCUAGUAGUCUGCUACUUAGGCUCCUGUUCUAGUCCAGUUCCGUAUCCUUCGCGGUGUCUAGUUCACUGCUCCUGUUCGGUAGUCUAAGACUGUUGGUAUUCGCGGUGUCCUCGGCGAGAGACAGGAACCUACUACCUCGACGGCCACUCGGUCUGUUCUACUUACUACCGUUCCCCAGAGUGUUUUCGUCUGUGGGGGCGGCGGUGGUGGUAGUGGUAGUACUAGUGGUACGGUUGAAACGACUUGGGUCACUGCCCUUCGUUGAGCACAUUCAACGAUUACGGAGUCUUGGACUAACCGUAGAAGUGACCUGAGACACUGCCGUUACAAACGAACGGGGUCAACCGGUCAACGACUUACUUCCGCUACAUAGAAAGUAUUACAAUGACAGAGCCGAGACGACGCCGAAAGACUUCGGACAUGAACAACAUGGCUUUGUAAACCGCUUUGGUCUACAAUAAAGGUCGCAAAGGAGACAACAGUAUACAAACGAACGACUAAACCACCAAUUUGUACGGACAAAGUAAACGACGUUCAAGUGAUAACGUAAAAACAAACAACUCGGUAUGAUGCCACCUAGUAUACGACGAUACAGAUGUGUAAAAAACGCCCUAUGAUCGAUGCGCAUGUG
Molecule: ribosomal RNA, 1597 nt
Filed under: Triticum aestivum (bread wheat)
Lineage: Eukaryota; Viridiplantae; Streptophyta; Magnoliopsida; Poales; Poaceae
Description: partial small subunit ribosomal RNA
Source: RNAcentral